CCUACGGGAGGCAGCAGUGGGGAAUAUUGCGCAAUGGGCGAAAGCCUGACGCAGCGACGCCGCGUGAGGGAUGAAGGUCUUCGGAUCGUAAACCUCUGUCAGCAGGGAAGAACGGUCACUGUGCUAAUCAGCAGUGAAUUGACGGUACCUGCAAAGGAAGCACCGGCUAACUCCGUGCCAGCAGCCGCGGUAAUACGGAGGGUGCGAGCGUUAAUCGGAAUUACUGGGCGUAAAGCGCUCGUAGGCGGUAUGUCAAGUCAAGGGUGAAAUCCCCGCGCUCAACGUGGGAACUGCAUUUGAAACUGGCAAACUGGAGUGUGUGAGAGGAUAGUGGAAGUCCAGGUGUAGGAGUGAAAUGCGUAGAUAUCUGGAGGAACAUCAGUGGCGAAGGCGACUAUCUGGCACAUAACUGACGCUGAGGAGCGAAAGCGUGGGUAGCAAACAGGAUUAGAUACCCCUGUAGUC
RNAcentral lists this ribosomal RNA (465 nucleotides) under uncultured bacterium. RNAcentral describes it as "partial 16S ribosomal RNA". It matches the Rfam family "Bacterial small subunit ribosomal RNA", at positions 338 to 795 of the family's 1533-position model. The record is from RNAcentral.